This 318-nucleotide ribosomal RNA is filed under the name uncultured Amanita. Its description in RNAcentral is "partial large subunit ribosomal RNA". It matches the Rfam family "Eukaryotic large subunit ribosomal RNA", at positions 40 to 350 of the family's 3401-position model. The record is from RNAcentral. Lineage: Eukaryota; Fungi; Basidiomycota; Agaricomycetes; Agaricales; Amanitaceae.
AUAUCAAUAAGCGGAGGAAAAGAAACUAACAAGGAUUCCCUUAGUAACUGCGAGUGAAGAGGGAAGAGCUCAAAUUUGAAAUCUGGCAGUGUUCUACUGCUCGAAUUGUAAUCUAGAGAAGUGUAACCUGUGCUGGACCAUGUACAAGUCUCCUGGAAUGGAGCAUCAUAGAGGGUGAGAAUCCUGUCUUUGACAUGGACUACCAGUGCAAUUGUGGUGUGCUCUCAAAGAGUCGAGUUGUUUGGGAAUGCAGCUCUAAAUGGGUGGUAAACUCCAUCUAAAGCUAAAUAUUGGCAAGAGACCGAUAGCGCACAAGUA